Molecule: ribosomal RNA, 1566 nt
Filed under: Thelohanellus sp. TB
Lineage: Eukaryota; Metazoa; Cnidaria; Myxozoa; Bivalvulida; Myxobolidae
Description: partial 18S ribosomal RNA
Rfam family: Eukaryotic small subunit ribosomal RNA (bases 1-558)
Source: RNAcentral
GUAAAGACUACGUUGCUGAAGCUGAUGAGUUCAUGAAGAAUGGAACAUUUAUAUGGGGAUGGAUUGGGGUAAGUUAGCCUAACUGCCGAAAGUGGUUCAAUUCUCCUUGUCAGCUCGCUGCAGUUGGUUUCGGCUUAAUUGUAGCAUCAUGGAGGGACAACGAGGUAUAAACAAGCUCGAGGAAGAGUGGCUAUAACAGGUCAGUGAUGCCUUUGGAUGUUCAGGGCUGCACGCGCGGUACAAUGAUAACGACAACGAGUGUCUGCGUCGAAAGACGUGGGUAAUCUUUAAUCGUUAUCGUGAUGGGGAUUGACCGUUGUAAUUAUCGGUCAUGAAAGAGGAAUCCCUAGUAUGCGCAUUUUAUUAGAAUGUGCAGAUUGAGUCCCUGCCCUUUGUACACACCGCCCGUCGCUACUACCGAGUGAAUGGUGUCAUGAUGCGCUGGGACUGGACGUCAGUUGGGUUUUCGGGCCUCGGCAGACGCUGGGAUCAGUACACAAAAAUGGGAUCCCCAAACCCAUCGUAAAGACUACGUUGCUGAAGCUGAUGAGUUCAUGAAGAAUGGAACAUUUAUAUGGGGAUGGAUUGGGGUAAGUUAGCCUAACUGCCGAAAGUGGUUCAAUUCUCCUUGUCAGCUCGCUGCAGUUGGUUUCGGCUUAAUUGUAGCAUCAUGGAGGGACAACGAGGUAUAAACAAGCUCGAGGAAGAGUGGCUAUAACAGGUCAGUGAUGCCUUUGGAUGUUCAGGGCUGCACGCGCGGUACAAUGAUAACGACAACGAGUGUCUGCGUCGAAAGACGUGGGUAAUCUUUAAUCGUUAUCGUGAUGGGGAUUGACCGUUGUAAUUAUCGGUCAUGAAAGAGGAAUCCCUAGUAUGCGCAUUUUAUUAGAAUGUGCAGAUUGAGUCCCUGCCCUUUGUACACACCGCCCGUCGCUACUACCGAGUGAAUGGUGUCAUGAUGCGCUGGGACUGGACGUCAGUUGGGUUUUCGGGCCUCGGCAGACGCUGGGAUCAGUACACAAAAAUGGGAUCCCCAAACCCAUCGUAAAGACUACGUUGCUGAAGCUGAUGAGUUCAUGAAGAAUGGAACAUUUAUAUGGGGAUGGAUUGGGGUAAGUUAGCCUAACUGCCGAAAGUGGUUCAAUUCUCCUUGUCAGCUCGCUGCAGUUGGUUUCGGCUUAAUUGUAGCAUCAUGGAGGGACAACGAGGUAUAAACAAGCUCGAGGAAGAGUGGCUAUAACAGGUCAGUGAUGCCUUUGGAUGUUCAGGGCUGCACGCGCGGUACAAUGAUAACGACAACGAGUGUCUGCGUCGAAAGACGUGGGUAAUCUUUAAUCGUUAUCGUGAUGGGGAUUGACCGUUGUAAUUAUCGGUCAUGAAAGAGGAAUCCCUAGUAUGCGCAUUUUAUUAGAAUGUGCAGAUUGAGUCCCUGCCCUUUGUACACACCGCCCGUCGCUACUACCGAGUGAAUGGUGUCAUGAUGCGCUGGGACUGGACGUCAGUUGGGUUUUCGGGCCUCGGCAGACGCUGGGAUCAGUACACAAAAAUGGGAUCCCCAAACCCAUC